AACUGUGAGGGUGAGCUUGCUGCAACAUCUGUUACCCCAUUGAUCUCCAGAGUUGAUUCAACUGAUCUGGCUGGCUAAGUGGGUUUCCCCUUCCUCCAUGACCACUCUAUGUGUGUCCCUCCCAAAGCUGUGCAAUAGGUAGAAGAGGAGAGAAGGACCAGUCUUCAGUCAAAGGUAUGGGCGUAGCUGUGUUCCCCUGCUAGAACCUGCAAACAAGCUCAAGGACUGAUUAUUCUACUAAACAAUUUAAUGUGUCUGGUUUUAUGU
This 267-nucleotide small nuclear RNA is filed under the name Meriones unguiculatus (Mongolian gerbil). Its description in RNAcentral is "7SK RNA (ENSMUGG00000000817.1)". It matches the Rfam family "7SK RNA". Rfam says of the family: 7SK was discovered as an abundant small nuclear RNA in the mid-70s but a possible function has only recently been suggested. Lineage: Eukaryota; Metazoa; Chordata; Mammalia; Rodentia; Muridae. The record is from RNAcentral.